AUUACCAUUUACCUACUAGACUCAUAUCCCUAUCAAAUACUCAAAUGUACUUGAUUUGACUCAGAAUCGAAAUCAAACCUUAGAAUUAGACAAACAGCCAGACAGGAACUGUGAAGCUAGUAGUGAAUUCAGCGCAGUGCAUGUGAGAGCCAGGGAGCUGUUGAGGCACAGGGUAAUGUCCAGAGCAGGAUAUUGGCUCCAUGAGUUCAUCUGACCGUGGCUGGGGUGAGUGUGUGAGUGAUUAAUGCCUGGGGCUGCUGGGUGAUGUGCUGCAGUGAGCGCAGAGGAAGGAAGGAAGAGAGGAGGGAGAGGGAACGUGGAUGGAACAGCGAACCACAAAAACAUCUCUUUGAUCUCUGGGGGUCAGCAGGAAGUGUGUCCAGGAUGAAAGAGAAGGAAGCUUUGGGCAAUGGAGGAAUCCCCAAGAAAAGCAAUGGAAUUUGCUGCAACAGUCCCUGGCUAAAAGGAGAUGAGCAGAAACAUUAUGCUGGCAGGAAAAUGCUCAAGGAUGUAAUUAGCAACAGUGAUAAAAGAACAGGCAUGGAAACAUGAAAUUAAAUGGAGCUAAGUAUGCAAACCUGCUCUUGCAGUAGGUCACUCAGUGAUUUUUAAGACAAAUGUGAGUGGGCAGUAUCAGCUUUAUUCUUAAUUUUAUAUUCAUCUGCUGGUCCUCACAGCAAAUACUCUGGCCUGUGUUUUCAAAAAUCCCACAUCUGUGGCAGAUUGGCACUAGGGGGGUGUGGGGACUUUGGGGUCCAAGGUGUUUGUCUGUCCUGGCAGUCAGUCCUGCCUCCAGCACAGCAGUGGGGGCUUGUGCCUGCUGAGGUGCUCUGUGACACCUGAGCAGCAAUUUUCUAACCUUCCCCCUUAGAUGAAGCCAGGAGCCACCUUCAUGCUUUAGUUUCAGAUCACAGCUGACAAAGCAGUUUCUCUUUUAUGUAUUUUUCUAGUUUAGUUUUUCAGACGAUUUUUAAAAAUUGAAAUUUAUAGUUGAGCUUAUCUUUGAAAAAACUGCUUGGAAUUCUUCAUAGCAGUCAAGUUGUUUUCCAGCAUUUCUUUAACUAUUUUUAAAUUGAUUUGUCUCGCUAGUAAAUAUCAGUGAUUUAAGAUUUAUGAUUUUUUUUUCUUCAUUUAAAUGUUUCUCCUAGGAUUAAGCUUGAGAUAAAUUUUUUCAUGUUGCUGCCCACUACUUGCAUUCAUGGGUAAAUUAAACUGUCUGGUUCCUUGUCACUGAUUUUUCAAAUGCUAGUAAUUAAAAUGGGAGAAGUAUUUUUAAUGCCAAAGAUUAAACAGAUGUUGGUGGAUAUAUUAGGUUUUGACAAAAGUUUGGCAGGUAAAAUAUAAAGUAAGAAUAGCAUUCCUAUAUUAUUUAUUUUUAAUUUUAGCUUUACUGGCCUUUCAAGUGUGCUCAAAAGCGAGAUGGAUUAUUAAAAUGUUUGCCACAGUCUAUUCUCAUACAUCCCUAAAACAGGAACAUGUGAGAUGAGGAACUCAUCAUCUGGAGAGAUGUGUGUAAUGGCUGAUAUCAAACACUGCUCACCCAUCCUCAGUGAUCACAACCCCCUGAGAGCUCUCCCCAGUUCAUUAUAUCAGCUGAAAUUAUUCUCUUCCUGCUAUGAUCCGCCUGCUUUGGUAUUUUGUCUCUCCUGACCCUGAAGCUCAUUCCUUACGCUGAUUAAUGUCUUCAUAUGGUCCUGAAACUCACUGCCCUGCAUGUCUGCCCCUGUUUCUCUUAUGCUGUUACCUUGUGAGUGAUUUCUCAUAAUUACAGCACAUUUUUGUGAAGACACAUUGCCUGGUCUGUCCUGCCAGACACAGUCCUCAGAGUCUCAGUAGCUGGAGGGCAGCCAGGCAAUAUUUUGCAGCUGCUUUUGAAAAUCCCAGUGGCUCAGACCUCAGUGAUGUUGGACUCAGACAUAACCAGAUGUCGAGAAUUCUUACCAGGCACAUCCUGAGCUUCAAAAUGUUCACAAAUUCUUGUGAAUAAUGGUGCAUCCUAUCUAAAGGGUUCUGCUUUAAUAUCUGUUCUAUCUCCAGUUCAUACUCCCUAUCCCAUACAAGUUUAGAAGGAAAAAAAUUCUGCAAACCAUCUUGUACUCAACUAAAUACAGGCCAAGUCUCAUCCUGGUAUAAGAAUGUUGCUAAAUAAAAGCUGGUUUAAUGUAUAUUUCUAGCUGUUU
Long non-coding RNA from Parus major (Great Tit), 2180 nucleotides. Lineage: Eukaryota; Metazoa; Chordata; Aves; Passeriformes; Paridae. The record is from Ensembl.